RNAcentral lists this ribosomal RNA (465 nucleotides) under Vreelandella stevensii. RNAcentral describes it as "partial 16S ribosomal RNA". It matches the Rfam family "Bacterial small subunit ribosomal RNA", at positions 338 to 795 of the family's 1533-position model. Lineage: Bacteria; Pseudomonadati; Pseudomonadota; Gammaproteobacteria; Oceanospirillales; Halomonadaceae. The record is from RNAcentral.
CCUACGGGGGGCAGCAGUGGGGAAUAUUGGACAAUGGGGGGAACCCUGAUCCAGCCAUGCCGCGUGUGUGAAGAAGGCCCUCGGGUUGUAAAGCACUUUCAGUGAGGAAGAACGCCUGGUGGUUAAUACCCAUCAGGAAAGACAUCACUCACAGAAGAAGCACCGGCUAACUCCGUGCCAGCAGCCGCGGUAAUACGGAGGGUGCGAGCGUUAAUCGGAAUUACUGGGCGUAAAGCGCGCGUAGGUGGCUUGAUAAGUCGGUUGUGAAAGCCCCGGGCUCAACCUGGGAACGGCAUCCGGAACUGUCACGCUAGAGUGCAGGAGAGGAAGGUAGAAUUCCCGGUGUAGCGGUGAAAUGCGUAGAGAUCGGGAGGAAUACCAGUGGCGAAGGCGGCCUUCUGGACUGACACUGACACUGAGGUGCGAAAGCGUGGGUAGCAAACAGGAUUAGAUACCCUGGUAGUC